Mus musculus (house mouse) is the source of this 3085-nucleotide RNA transcript. It is a transcript of the gene named nitrogen permease regulator-like 3, with no coding region annotated. NCBI's taxonomy places the organism in Eukaryota, Metazoa, Chordata, Mammalia, Rodentia, Muridae. The record is from RefSeq and is marked validated. The transcript is spliced from 14 exons.
CGGGCAUGCGCGGGGGCUGUGGAGCGCCGCUCGGCGAAGUCUCGCGAGAGUGAGCGCCGAGGCCGAGGUGCCGGCUUCCUCCGUGUCCCUGCGGGCCCGGCGCCUGCCUUCGGCUUUUGCGGUCCCUACGCGAGUUCCUCUCAGGCGCACGCCCGGGCUCCCGCAGGAUGGGGGACAAUACCAGCCCCAUCAGCGUGAUCCUGAUAAACCACGGAGCAGAUAUGCUGUCAACAACACUGGCGAACAUGCUGAUGACCAGGACGGUGACUCCAGGUUCUCGGAUGUUAUUCUGGCAACAAUUUUGGCAACCAAAUCUGAAAUGUGCGGCCAAAAAUUUGAACUGAAGAUUGAUAAUGUACGGUUUGUUGGGCACCCAACACUGCUGCAGCAUGCUCUGGGGCAGGUCUCCAAAACAGAUCCAUCUCCAAAGCGGGAAGCUCCGACCAUGAUUCUUUUUAACGUGGUAUUUGCACUGAGGGCCAAUGCUGAUCCAUCAGUGAUAAACUGUCUACACAACUUGUCCCGCCGAAUUGCUACUGUCCUGCAGCAUGAGGAGCGCCGCUGCCAGUACCUCACUCGAGAGGCCAAGCUGAUCCUAGCACUUCAGGAUGAGGUGUCUGCUAUGGCUGAUGCAAAUGAAGGUCCUCAGUCCCCAUUCCAGCACAUCCUACCCAAGUGCAAGCUGGCUCGGGACCUCAAAGAAGCUUAUGACAGCCUGUGCACAUCUGGUGUGGUACGGCUUCACAUUAACAGCUGGCUGGAAGUGAGUUUCUGUCUGCCCCACAAGAUCCACUAUGCAGCUUCAAGUCUGAUUCCUCCUGAGGCUAUUGAACGGAGCCUGAAAGCCAUCCGCCCGUACCAUGCCUUGCUACUUCUCAGUGACGAGAAGUCUCUGCUGAGUGAGCUUCCCAUUGACUGCUCCCCGGCUCUGGUGCGGGUGAUCAAGACCACGUCUGCUGUGAAGAACCUGCAGCAGCUAGCCCAGGAUGCCGAUCUGGCCUUGCUGCAGAUGCACCAGAAGAGGACAUUGGAUCCCUUUACAGAUGGUUUUGAGCUAUCAUGUGUUUGCUGGGAAUUGAACUCAGGACCUCUGGAAGAGCAGUCAGUGCUCUUAACCACUGAGCCAUCUCUCCAGCCCCCUUGUUUUCGUUUUUACUAAAAUACAUGUCUUUAAUGAUGAGACAUGCAGAGAUGCAGCCUUGUUUUGGAGGACAACUAAGUCCAAUCAGAUGUUCAGAGCAAACCUUCCCUGCAGGACUGCGGGUUUGCCUCUUUCCAUCUCUGAUGCCAUGGGGCUAGGAUCCAAGUGAGGUCUUCCAGUUGGCAGCUCACCUGGUAUACUGGGGCAAGGCUGUCAUCAUCUACCCACUGUGUGAGAACAACGUCUAUGUCAUGUCUCCCAAUGCCAGUGUGUGUCUGUACUCCCCGCUAGCUGAACAGUUCUCCCGGCAGUUCCCGUCCCAUGACCUGCCAUCUGUCCUGGCCAAGUUUUCCUUGCCUGUUUCUUUAUCGGAGUUCAGGAGCCCUCUGGCUCCCCCUGCACAGGAGACCCAGCUCAUCCAGAUGGUGGUGUGGAUGCUGCAGCGCCGGCUCCUCAUCCAGCUGCAUACCUAUGUUUGCCUAAUGGCCUCACCCAGCGAAGAGGAGCCCCGACUGCGAGAGGAUGAUGUCCCCUUCACAGCCAGAGUUGGUGGCCGCAGCCUCAGCACACCCAAUGCUCUAAGCUUUGGCUCCCCAACCAGCAGUGACGACAUGACCCUUACCAGCCCCAGUAUGGACAACUCAAGUGCUGAGCUGCUCCCCAGUGGGGACUCACCACUGAACAAGAGGAUGACAGAGAACCUGCUGGCUAGCCUCUCAGAGCAUGAGCGGGCUGCUAUCCUCAAUGUGCCUGCAGCCCAAAACCCUGAGGACCUCCGCAUGUUUGCCAGGCUCCUUCACUACUUCCGUGGCCGCCACCAUCUGGAGGAGAUCAUGUACAAUGAGAACACUCGGCGCUCCCAGCUACUCAUGCUCUUUGACAAAUUCCGCAGUGUGCUGGUGGUGACCACCCAUGAGGACCCUGUUAUUGCCGUCUUCCAGGCACUGCUCACAUGAGCCCGGGCAGCAUGCCUGUGUGUGGAUGGAAACAACCUCCCUUCUGCCGCAGAGUUCCUGACUGGCCUUAGGAAGAUAGGCAGCCCCAGCCCGGUCGGUCUGGUCAGAAGCAGCUAUGGGGCAGCCAUGGUUGGGCUUUGUGAUUCUCUUGAGACCUCACACUUGCCUUGUAGUUAAGGAUGACCUUGAACUCCUGAUCCUCCUGCCUCUGUCCUCCAAGUGCUAUGAUUACACACGCGUGCCAUCAAUGUCACUUGUAAAAAAUAUAUUUAUUUUUAUUUAUGGUUUUGUGUGUAUGUGUGCCCUCAGAGGUCAGAAGAAAGCAUGCCUUGGAGCUAGAGUUACAGAGGUUGUGAGCCAUUGGGUGUGGGGCUGGGAACAGCAGAAGAGCAGGAAGCACUGUUAACCAUUGCUCUCUCCUACCCACCAGCCUCCCUCUUCAAUCUGGUCCUUACGGCAGCUUAAUAUUGCUGAGCUGGAGAAGGUCUUCCAGGAUGUGACUUUUUUUUUUAAAGAUGUAUUUAUUUAACGUAUGUGAGUAUACUGUUGCUGUCUUCAGACACCAGAAGAGGGCAUUACAUGCCACCAUGUGGUUGGUGGGAAUUGAACUCAGGACCUCUGGUUAAGAGCAGGAAGUGCUCUUAACCACCUAGCCAUCUCUCCAGCCCCCAGGAUGUGUCUUCAGAGUCCAAGUCCUUUCUUUAUACACAUACAGGUUAUGUCCUUGUCAUCCCUUUCCGGCCGGUCCCUUGUGGAGCUGCCCUGGAAAGUGUCUAAACACACCUGUUCAGCUCAUUCUGUUCCUAGGUGUAUACACCUGCACGUUGAUGUUUUUCCUCUCUGUUGCCAUACAUACUGGGUAACCCAGUUUCCUGACCCGGAUAAAGAAUUAACUGCAUGAACACAAAUUCUGGCUGAGACUUGGGGACAGUUCUCUAAAAACGGGAUAUUUAUUUUACUUUUGAACAAUUAAAAGCCCCUCAGAGCA